This 1884-nucleotide ribosomal RNA is filed under the name marine metagenome. Its description in RNAcentral is "bacterial LSU rRNA". It matches the Rfam family "Bacterial large subunit ribosomal RNA", at positions 639 to 2397 of the family's 2925-position model. The record is from RNAcentral.
GGCAAGGUUAACCCGUCGAGGGGAAGCCGUAGCGAAAGCGAGUCUGAAUAGGGCGCCAUAGUCGCAUGAUCUAAACCCGAAGCGAGGUGAUCUAGCCAUGGUCAGGUUGAAGCGUGGGUAAGACUGCGUGGAGGACCGAACCCACAAACGUUGAAAAGUUUGGGGAUGAACUGUGGUUAGGGGUGAAAGGCCAAUCAAACUUCGUGAUAGCUGGUUCUCUCCGAAAUGCAUUUAGGUGCAGCGUUACGUGUUUCUUACUGGAGGUAGAGCUACUGGAUGGCCGAGGGGACCUACAAGUUUACCAACGUCAGCCAAACUCCGAAUGCCAGUAAGUGAGAACGUAGCAGUGAGACAGUGGGGGAUAAGCUUCAUUGUCGAGAGGGAAACAACCCAGAACAGCAACUAAGGUCCCAAAGCGUGUGCUAAGUGGAAAAGGAUGUGAAGUCGCAUAGACAACCAGGAUGUUGGCUUAGAAGCAGCCACCAUUAAAAGAGUGCGUAAUAGCUCACUGGUCAAGUGAUUUCGCGCCGACAAUGUAACGGGGCUCAAGCACAGCACCGAAGUUCUAUCAUUCAAGCACUAUCCCGGUCGCAAGAUCCAGGAGCUUGGAUGGGUAGGAGAGCGUUGUGUGACUGGUGAAGCGGCAGAGGAAUCUAGCCGUGGAAGUCACACAAGUGAGAAUGUAGACAUGAGUAGCGAGAGAGGGGUGAGAAACCCCUCCGCCGAAAGACCAAGGGUUCCUGGGCCAGGCUAAUCCGCCCAGGGUAAGUCGGGACCUAAGGCGAGGCCGUCAGGCGUAGUCGAUGGACAACUGGUUGAUAUUCCAGUACCCGCUUUAAUUCGCCCAUAACGAAUCCACUAAUGCUAAGAGUCUGAAUCCUGUUCGGCGUAAGCCGCGUGGGUGGAUGGCUCGAACCGGUGUGGUAGUAGUUAAGCAAUGGUGUGACACAGGAAGGCAGUCCAGCCCGGGCGAUGGUUGUCCCGGGGUAAGGCUGUAGGGGGUGUUGUAGGUAAAUCCGCAACACACAUACCCUGAGAGCUGAUGCCGAGCCGUAAGGCGAAGUGGAUGAUCCUAUGCUGUCAAGAAAAGCAUCUAGCGAGAUUUAAAGCGGCCCGUACCCGAAACCGACACAGGUGGUCAGGUAGAGAAUACCAAGGCGAUCGAGAGAAUCGUGGUGAAGGAACUCGGCAAAUUACCCCCGUAACUUCGGGAUAAGGGGGGCCAAAUUACGUGUAGGGAUUUACUCCCGAAGCGUGAGUUGGCCGCAGAGACUAGGCUCAAGCGACUGUUUACCAAAAACACAGGUCCGUGCGAAGUUGCAAAACGAUGUAUACGGACUGACGCCUGCCCGGUGCUGGAAGGUUAAGGGGACUGGUUAGCCGCAAGGCGAAGCUGAGAACUUAAGCCCCAGUAAACGGCGGUGGUAACUAUAACCAUCCUAAGGUAGCGAAAUUCCUUGUCGGGUAAGUUCCGACCUGCACGAAUGGCGUAACGACUUGAGCGCUGUCUCCACCAUGAACUCGGCGAAAUUGCAUUACGAGUAAAGAUGCUCGUUACGCGCAGCAGGACGGAAAGACCCCGGGACCUUUACUAUAUCUUGAUAUUGGCACUCGGAACGGUUUGUGUAGCAUAGGUGGGAGACUUUGAAGCGGCACGCCAGUGUUCGUGGAGUCAUCGUUGAAAUACCACUCUAAUCGUUUUGAGUUUCUAACCUCGGUCCAUGAUCUGGAUCAGGGACAGUGUCUGGUGGGUAGUUUGACUGGGGCGGUCGCCUCCCAAAAAGUAACGGAGGCGCUCAAAGGUUCCCUCAAUCUGGUUGGCAAUCAGAUGUCGAGUGUAAGUGCACAAGGGAGCUUAACUGUGAGACAGACAUGUCGAGCAGG